UACGAAGGGGGCUAGCGUUGCUCGGAAUUACUGGGCGUAAAGGGCGCGUAGGCGGAUUUUCAAGUUGGGGGUGAAAUCCCGGGGCUCAACCUCGGAACUGCCUCCAAAACUGACAAUCUAGAGUACGGGAGAGGUGAGUGGAACUCCGAGUGUAGAGGUGAAAUUCGUAGAUAUUCGGAAGAACACCAGUGGCGAAGGCGACUCACUGGCCCGUUACUGACGCUGAGGCGCGAAAGCGUGGGGAGCAAACAGG
This 253-nucleotide ribosomal RNA is filed under the name uncultured bacterium. RNAcentral describes it as "partial 16S ribosomal RNA". It matches the Rfam family "Bacterial small subunit ribosomal RNA", at positions 524 to 776 of the family's 1533-position model. The record is from RNAcentral.